This 462-nucleotide ribosomal RNA is filed under the name uncultured bacterium. RNAcentral describes it as "partial 16S ribosomal RNA". It matches the Rfam family "Bacterial small subunit ribosomal RNA", at positions 28 to 507 of the family's 1533-position model. The record is from RNAcentral.
GACGAACGCUGGCGGCGUGCUUAACACAUGCAAGUCGAACGGUGAAGCCCUUCGGGGUGGAUCAGUGGCGAACGGGUGAGUAACACGUGAGCAACCUGCCCCUGGCUCUGGGACAACCACUGGAAACGGUGGCUAAUACCGGAUACGACCCGCCUCGGCAUCGAGUGUGGGUGGAAAGUUUUUCGGCUGGGGAUGGGCUCGCGGCCUAUCAGCUUGUUGGUGAGGUGAAGGCUUACCAAGGCGACGACGGGUAGCCGGCCUGAGAGGGCGACCGGCCACACUGGGACUGAGACACGGCCCAGACUCCAACGGGAGGCAGCAGUGGGGAAUAUUGCCCAAUGGGCGAAAGCCUGAUGCAGCGACGCCGCGUGAGGGAUGACGGCCUUCGGGUUGUAAACCUCUUUCAGCUCAGAAGAAGCGAAAGUGACGGUAGGAGCAGAAGAAGCACCGGCUAACUACGUG